Molecule: ribosomal RNA, 305 nt
Filed under: uncultured bacterium
Lineage: Bacteria
Description: partial 16S ribosomal RNA
Rfam family: Bacterial small subunit ribosomal RNA
Source: RNAcentral
ACAGCAGUAGCCGCGGUAAUACGAAGGGUGCAAGCGUUAAUCGGAAUUACUGGGCGUAAAGCGUGCGUAGGCGGUGAGUUAAGUCUGCUGUGAAAUCCCCGGGCUCAACCUGGGAAUGGCAGUGGAUACUGGCUCGCUAGAGUGUGUCAGAGGAUGGUGGAAUUCCCGGUGUAGCGGUGAAAUGCGUAGAGAUCGGGAGGAACAUCAGUGGCGAAGGCGGCCAUCUGGGACAACACUGACGCUGAGGCACGAAAGCGUGGGGAGCAAACAGGAUUAGAUACCCGAGUAGUCCCUGUCUCUUAUAA